CUUUGGGACUGUUGAUGUAGCAGUCUGUAAGAUUUCUCUGUAUGAAGAGGAAAAGGACAGAAAAAUGCAGCCUUUAUUUUGGCCUUAUCAGCUGUAAAAACCUCACCUUAUUUUGUAGGAGAAUGGCAGUUUAAUAUGGCCUGACACCCUAUUGCUUGUGAGCAGAUCAGUUGGCUUUGGUGGAGCUGCCCCCCACAUUUCUCAGUGUCUUUCACUGCUUCUGAAGGCUGAGAAGAAAUAUUCCAGUCUGUGGGAGUUGAUUGAAAAUAUCCUGUAUGUGAAUCUCCCUGGCUCUUCCUCAUUGCAGCAAACAUCAACUGGGCAAGUAAUUGUCUGCUUUUCUUUCCUGGUGUUUCUAGCAUUUCCUUUCUGUCCUCCAUUCU
RNAcentral lists this long non-coding RNA (383 nucleotides) under Parus major (Great Tit). RNAcentral's name for it is "lncRNA (ENSPMJG00000011859.1)". The record is from RNAcentral. Lineage: Eukaryota; Metazoa; Chordata; Aves; Passeriformes; Paridae.